This 85-nucleotide transfer RNA is filed under the name Felis catus (domestic cat). It matches the Rfam family "tRNA". From Rfam's summary of the family: Transfer RNA (tRNA) molecules are approximately 80 nucleotides in length. Their secondary structure includes four short double-helical elements and three loops (D, anti-codon, and T loops). Further hydrogen bonds mediate the characteristic L-shaped molecular structure. tRNAs have two regions of fundamental functional importance: the anti-codon, which is responsible for specific mRNA codon recognition, and the 3' end, to which the tRNAs corresponding amino acid is attached (by aminoacyl-tRNA synthetases). tRNAs cope with the degeneracy of the genetic code in two manners: having more than one tRNA (with a specific anti-codon) for a particular amino acid; and 'wobble' base-pairing, i.e. permitting non-standard base-pairing at the 3rd anti-codon position. Lineage: Eukaryota; Metazoa; Chordata; Mammalia; Carnivora; Felidae. The record is from Rfam by way of RNAcentral.
GCCUGGGUGGCUCAAUCGGUUAAGCAUCUGACUUUGACUCAGGUCAUGAUCUCACAGUUCAUGGGUUCAAGCCCCUUGUCAGGCU